CAGGAUAUGAAGACACGGCCCGCACACCCACACCCCGCCCCGUGCCCACACCUCUCUCUCUCUCUCUCCACUGACGGCAACUCUGGCAUCCACCCCGCGCCUGCGCUCGCACCCCCAUCGCCUCCCCCACACUCAGACAUGGCGGCGGCAGCAGAUCGCUUUGGCGGCGGCAGAUCCGUUGGAUCCAACGGUGAUGAGGCCAGGUAGGCCUCCUCCUCUCUCUCCUCCUAGAUCAGGCUAGGGUUCCGACGAGCCCUUCUAUUUCUUCUCCAAUCCUGGUGGGGUGUAGAAUGACUAGCCUAAGGGAGGCAGGUAGGCCGAGCAAUGAGGAUACGCUUGAUCGACGACUUAGGGGAGUUAACGACAGCAGAGGCAAUCAACUCUCUCUUGGCAACUCCGGUGUCCACCUCGCGCCUGCGCCCGCACCCCCAUCGCCUCCCUCACACUAAGACAUGGCGGCAGCGACAGAUCUGUCGGCUUCGGCGGUGGCAGAUCCACUGGAUCUAACGGUGACGAGGCCAGGUAGGCCUCCUCUUCUCUCCUCCUAGAUUAUGCUAGGGUUCGGACGAGCUCUUCCCUUUCUUCUCCAACCUCGGUGGGGUGUAGAAUGACUAGCCUAAGGGAGGAAGGUAGCCGAGCAAUGGGGAUGCUUGAACGGCGGCUUAAGGGAGUUAACGACUGCAAAGGCAAUCAAAUCAGGACGAAGAAGGCUCACCAAGGCUAGAGAAGAUGACAACAGACAAGCUUGCUCAAGCUGAAGAAGAUGGUGGCAGUGGGGAAGAGGGGAAGGGAAAAGGGCAGCCGCCAUGGGUAGAGGGGUGGCCGGCGAACCCUAGAUCUGGUCAGUUUUUUUUUCUUUUUUGGCAACCAAAACAAUUCUUUUCCCAAAUUAGUUUGCAGCCGAAAAUUGCGUUUCCUGCACGCGCACGCCCAUGUAAAGUCCAUACUCUUGAUAUAUAGCCGCUCAAAAAAAUCUUUACAAACCAACCUCAGUUUUACAUGUUGAGAAAUGAGAAUGAGAACCAUGUUCGAUACGCGCGCGGCAGUAACUAGUCAUACAAAAAGUCAGCGAACUUUCCUAUGCACCAGACGAGUUCAACUUUAGCAUGCGAACCUCCCAUGCAUCUAUGCUAUGUAACUCAUCUAAUAACCAAAAUAAACAAACCUACAACAUUCUCUAUCUACCUUCUACUCUCUUACCCUUUUAGCAGUUCAGCCUCUCGUCUUUCAAAAAGUAUUUCAGUUUCUUUGGCAGUGGCGAGUGGCAAUCAGUGCCUUCCAUGUGCCGUUUUGCAGGGUUGCUGCGGCUGUGAUUCAUCAAAUCAUCCUUGGGUGGAGCCAACUUUUCAGCUUCAAUGUCAUACCUGACGACGUUUGUUACAAUUCCAUGAAU
RNAcentral lists this long non-coding RNA (1393 nucleotides) under Sorghum bicolor (sorghum). RNAcentral describes it as "long non-coding RNA (SBIC_LNC011292)". The record is from RNAcentral. Lineage: Eukaryota; Viridiplantae; Streptophyta; Magnoliopsida; Poales; Poaceae.